AGAGUAGAAAAAACUUAGAUUUCACUCGGCAUCCACCUAUCUCCCGAGCCCCUCUCACACGAAACUAUCUCACACCCUCUCCUUCCAACUUUGUGACGGGAUCUCCUCUAGGGUUCGCACGAAUCUGGGAAGAUCACUAUCGCUCGUGCCCUCUCCUCUGCUCUACCCGCCUCUCUAUACGCCUUCUUCAUCACCCUCUCCGUUGUUUCCUCUGGCGUAUGAGAGCUCCGUGAGGCUAUCGACGGCGCCGACCAUACCUGAUCCCAUGGUCGUCACAUUGUCCUCUUUGUCGAUGAGAUCCACCCAUUCUCCAAGUCCCAGCAAGACUCCUUCCUCCUCGCCAUCGAAAAUGGUUCCAUCAUUCUCAUUGGUGCCACCACCGAGAGAACCCUAAUCUCAUUUUCCAAUUGCCUGAAAUUUUCUCGCCAGCGACGCCAUCACAGCCUCGAAAGCUCGCAUCCAUGUGAGCUCUGUCGUUCGUGGGUUCGCGAGUGUUGCUACCUACCGCUUGUAGCCUCGCGUGCGCUGUUGUCUACCACUCGCGAGUGUUGCCGCCUGCUGAUCGCGAUGGACAAAUUUCUAUGGCGGCUUUCAUGCUAUCUUUAGGAUCCGUUGUAUUCCCAAUUUUGGAUGUGCUGCGUAGUAUCUUUGAUACACAAAACUUUUUUUCUGCCUUACUUUUAAUAGAACUAAAGUCAUAAUUUGGUUGUUGCAUGUCAUAUGAUUCUUCUUGAUCUUUGGUGGAAUCCAACUAUUGAAGAGCAAGCCAUUGACCGAGUGCAUCGAAUUGGACAAACCCAUCCAGUGAAGGUGUCACGAAUAACUAUAAAAGAUACAAUUGAAGAUCAUAUAUUGGCUCUUCAGGUUCACCUUCAUGCAAUGCUCUCUCUUGUUGGUACUUGCCGUUAUGAUAGCUCUUUAGGGGCUUAGAUGAUGCAAUGACAGGAGAGGUUAAAAAUUAUAUGCCAAUACUGCAGACAGAAGUUGAAAACCUAGCCUCGUAAGAAUGCCAGUUGGAUGAGUGCAUCAGGAAAAAUGCAAGAAAGCAUGAGUGUGCUCACUGAAGAAGAAAGUAAUCAAAAGCUGCUUUACCUGAUCGAAGAUGACAUCAAAAGACUACCCUACUUUUAGGUUUUUUACAUGUUUCCCUUGUUUAUUUUAAAACAAAUAUUAAAUUUUGGAUGUUAGUAAAGAUUACAGGAGCAGCAACUAUAUGUUAUGUGGUACUGCAUCUGAACCUCAGGGGUGUGACUGAGAAGUACUUCAACAAAGAACUAUCAAGAAGACUUUAAGCGAGAAGAUGGUUAAAGUCAAUUUUUUCUUGCAUUUGCCCACAUAUGUUGCUAACAUCUACAAAUGAAAAUAAUGUUUUGUUUCAUGCAAAAUUUCAGGCUGCUUUACCUGAUCGAAGAUGACAUCAAAAGACUACCCUACUUUUAGGUUUUUUACAUGUUUCCCUUGUUUAUUUUAAAACAAAUAUUAAAUUUUGGAUGUUAGUAAAGAUUACAGGAGCAGCAACUAUAUGUUAUGUGGUACUGCAUCUGAACCUCAGGGGUGUGACUGAGAAGUACUUCGACGAAGAACUAUCAAGAAGACUUUAAGCGAGAAGAUGGUUAAAGUCAAUGAGUAAAGAACAUUCAAGUCAAGAGGAUAAGUAGCAUCUAUCAAGAUCUUUUAAGUUCAUGCAAUAAGUUGUAAUCGAUAGGAGUAGUUUUGAGUGUCUCCUAAUUAAAAUUUCUUUGUAUGCGAGUAAUUAUGUUUAUUAUAGAAGUAUAAGAAUGAUAUUUUGUAUAUUUAUCUUGGUUGUUUAUUUAAUAAUAUGUUGUUGAUUGAAGUA
Zingiber officinale is the source of this 1837-nucleotide RNA transcript. It is a transcript of the gene named helicase-like transcription factor CHR28, with no coding region annotated. The record is from RefSeq and is a predicted model, not a curated record. The transcript is spliced from 6 exons. Lineage: Eukaryota; Viridiplantae; Streptophyta; Magnoliopsida; Zingiberales; Zingiberaceae.